Cercocebus atys (sooty mangabey) is the source of this 348-nucleotide long non-coding RNA. RefSeq lists it as uncharacterized. The transcript has 4 exons. The record is from RefSeq and is a predicted model, not a curated record. NCBI's taxonomy places the organism in Eukaryota, Metazoa, Chordata, Mammalia, Primates, Cercopithecidae.
CGAUUUUCCGGGACUUUGCAGCGCUGGAUGGUUACAGGGGAGCAGGUGCCAGAUUCCCUGGGCCAUCAACUUACGCUCCGAAGCAGUUGCGGACGGCUGCUCAAGAGAAACGAGCAGGAUAGAAGAAAUCAAAGGAACAGGAUUGCUGAAUCAUAGAAGAGAUGUGUGUUUUACUUUAGAAGAAGCUCUUCCAUAGUCUUCUGAAGCAGAUGAUGACACUGAGGCCCAGAGAAAUGAGUGACUGGUCAUGAUCCUACGGCUAGCUAAUACAUGGAGAAGCUAUGAGUUGAAAAUAGGUCUGCUUGACUCCAAUGCUUGCACUCUUAACCUUGCUCUAGUAAAUAAAUG